UCCGGCUUGACACCGGCAGUCUCCUUAGAGUUCCCGGCAUGACCCGCUGGUAACUAAGGACAAGGGUUUCGCUCGUUAAGGGACUUAACCCGACAUCUCACAACACGAGCUGACGACAGCCAUGCAGCACCUGUGGUCGUUCCACGGCAAGCCGCGUCACCUCCCUUUCAGGAGGCUAAUCCGACCAUGUCAAACCUAGGAUAAGGUUCUUCGCGUAGCCUCGAAUUAAGCCACAUGCUCCACCGCUGGUGUGAGCCCCCGUCAAUUCCUUUGAGUUUCAGCCUUGCGGCCAUACUCCCCAGGCGGGGUACUAAACACUUUCGCUUCGGCAGGAGGCGGCAUCGGACCGCUUCCUACCCAGUACCCAUCGUUUACGGCUAGGACUA
RNAcentral lists this unclassified non-coding RNA (386 nucleotides) under uncultured Planctomycetia bacterium. RNAcentral describes it as "contains 16S-23S intergenic spacer region". The record is from RNAcentral. Lineage: Bacteria; Pseudomonadati; Planctomycetota; Planctomycetia.